UCUACCCAGUAGUGGGGGACAACUUGGGGAAACUCAAGCUAAUACCGCAUACGCCCUACGGGGAAAGCGGGGGACCUUCGGGCCUCGUGCUAUUGGAUGAGCCUGCGUUGGAUUAGCUAGUUGGUGGGGUAAAGGCCUACCAAGGCGACGAUCCAUAGCUGGUCUGAGAGGAUGAUCAGCCACACUGGGACUGAGACACGGCCCAGACUCCUACGGGAGGCAGCAGUGGGGAAUAUUGCGCAAUGGGGGCAACCCUGACGCAGCCAUGCCGCGUGUGUGAAGAAGGCCUUCGGGUUGUAAAGCACUUUCAAUUGGGAGGAAAGGUUCAAAGUUAAUAACUUUGAGCUGUGACGUUACCUUUAGAAGAAGCACCGGCUAACUCCGUGCCAGCAGCCGCGGUAAUACGGAGGGUGCGAGCGUUAAUCGGAAUUACUGGGCGUAAAGCGCGCGUAGGGGUUUGUUAAGUCGGAUGUGAAAGCCCUGGCUCAACCUGGGAAUUGCAUUCGAUACUGGCUGACUGGAGUGCGAGAGAGGGAGGUAGAAUUCCACGUGUAGCGGUGAAAUGCGUAGAUAUGUGGAGGAAUACCGGUGGCGAAGGGGCCUCCUGGCUCGACACUGACGCUGAGGUGCGAAAGGUGGGGAGUAAACAGGAUUAGAUACCCUGGUAGUCCACGCCGUAAACGAUGUCUACUAGCCGUUGGGGAACUUGAUUCUUUGGUGGCGCAGUUAACGCGAUAAGUAGACCGCCUGGGGAGUACGGCCGCAAGUUAAAACUCAAAUGAAUUGACGGGGG
RNAcentral lists this ribosomal RNA (793 nucleotides) under uncultured bacterium. Its description in RNAcentral is "bacterial SSU rRNA". It matches the Rfam family "Bacterial small subunit ribosomal RNA", at positions 125 to 919 of the family's 1533-position model. The record is from RNAcentral.